Molecule: long non-coding RNA, 879 nt
Filed under: Rattus norvegicus (Norway rat)
Lineage: Eukaryota; Metazoa; Chordata; Mammalia; Rodentia; Muridae
Description: long non-coding RNA NONRATT027665
Source: RNAcentral
GAGCCACUACAUCCAGAUGUUUUCUAGGCUGAGUCCCUGGGGGCAGAGCUUGAGUGUCAUUGCCCAUGACAGAGCUUGCAUGGGAAGAAAAGCACAUGAAUGUCUGGAUUGAAGACUGGCUCCUGUCUGGUCAGAAAAAUUAGAAUUUCAGGGAAAAUGCCGGAGAGACAAAUAGAGAAGAGGAGACAGGGAGAAAUGAGGAGGAACAAGAGAAAGAGGAGGAGGAGGAGGAGGAAGAAGAAGAGGGGGAGAAGAAGGAGAAUGUGUCUGUUUCUAGAUCCCAGUGAUGCCCGCCAUAGCCAUCCUGGGCUGGAGACUGGCAGUGGGUAUAAAAAGAACUCUGGAACCCAGGGCAGAGCUUCAGGUGACUUCACUUCCGUUUGCACCAGAAAACUCGCACUGUUCUUGCAGUUUUGCUGCUUAGAGGGAGCUAGGGUUAUCUUUGCAUGUGAAUAUGUAUGUACGCAUGCGUGUGAGUAUAAUUACCCAUCACUGAUUAAUCUUCAGACUGAGUCAAGCAUUCGCUGCAAAUCCUUGAAACAAACAAGUCUAUUUAUAUUUUAAUUUUUUUUGGAUUUCAGGUUGAUUUGUCUUUCUUCUGCAUAUUUAUGAAGUCGUUGAUCCCAUGGUAACCUUUCCCUUACCUCUUGUGGAUCAGAAGAAAGAGAGAGGGAGACAGACAAACUGGCUCUGUCCCUUACCUUCCCCAGAUGCCACAGCACUCCCUGUAGUUCUAGAGGACAGUGAGGACAGCUCGAGAACAGAGGCAGCUUUUUUCAAUUAAGGUGUAAUUAAUUAAUUGGACCCCCUGCCCAUGGCUGUCAUUCUUCUUUAAGGUGACCUCCACUCUUGCUGAGAUCUGACUUUGGUCCUGGAUUC